CGAGUUAUCUGCGAGUUGUUAUUACACUGUCUAGCGAAUAUGUUUGUACGUGCGUCUCACAAUAAUACUUAUUUAUUUACAUUUAUUUCAUUAUUUCAAAUAUAUUUGACGGAUUGCAACAAAAAAAACACGUGGCUACCGGUCUUUCGAAGGGAGCGUUCGUCGCCCCGUACGACCACCGUCCAUGGCUUCGACUUUUCUAAUCGCGUCUGGAAGGGUCCCGUGCUCCAUGCUAAUGCGUCCUCCAGCUCGACGAUCAGCAGACAAACGCGCGUUCACCAACUUGCAGGGCGUAACCGAACGACCAUUCCGAUCAUUAGAAUCGCGCGUCCUUACAUGCAACCGAUAAUGAAUACAUAGUUCCUACUGCGAGUUUGUAACAAGAUUGAAGAGACGAGGACGGAUGAUUCUGUACGAGAUUUUUGUUUGCAGUUCAUCGUUUUGGUAUACUUGUCUCGUGCAUGAAGGAGGAAGUAAGUUCAGGUGGUGAUUGAGAAGUUGAAGGCUUUGUACACUUUACGAAAACGUUAUUUUUAUUUACAUGGAAAAUAUAUAAUUUAGAAUAAUAUCAAACAAUAGUUGUAUGUAAUAAUUGUAUGGUAAUAUGAAACAAAAGUUGAAAGCUUCGUACACUUUACAAAAACGUUACUCUUAUUUACAUGGAAAAUAUAUAAUUUAUAAUAAUAUGAAACAAUAGUAAAAUAGAUCUUAAUUAUUCUGGUAGAAGUGCACUUACUUUGCAGUGGUAUUUCAUUUUAAUGUAUUUUAUUUUAAUGAAAAUAAUCUGUUUAUAGCUCGUGCAAAAAUUCUCGUGGGCUAACUGUAAAUUCCAGAAACGAAGACUUCUAAUAGAAAUAAACGGCCCAGUUCUCUUAAUUUUAAUGCUUUUAAUGCUAAUUAUAUUAUUUAUCACUUGAAAAAAUACAUAUAGAUCCUUAGCGCUUAUCACCUUCAUGAAUUAUUUAAAAUCCCG
RNAcentral lists this unclassified non-coding RNA (973 nucleotides) under Bombus terrestris (buff-tailed bumblebee). RNAcentral's name for it is "misc RNA ENSBTSG00005037652.1". Lineage: Eukaryota; Metazoa; Arthropoda; Insecta; Hymenoptera; Apidae. The record is from RNAcentral.